AUUGAACGCUGGCGGCAGGCCUAACACAUGCAAGUCGAGCGAGCGGCGGACGGGUGAGUAAUGUCUGGGAAACUGCCUGAUGGAGGGGGAUAACUACUGGAAACGGUAGCUAAUACCGCAUACCAUCAGAUGUGCCCAGAUGGGCUUAGCUAGUAUGUGGGGUAACGACUCACCUAGGCGACGAUCCCUAGCUGGUCUGAGAGGAUGACCAGCCACACGGGAACUGAGACAGGGUCCAGACUCCUACGGGAGGAAGCAGUGGGGAAUAUUGCACAAUGGGGGCAGGCCUGAUGCAGCCAUGCCGCGUGUGGGAGGAAGGCCUUCGGGUUUUAAAGCACGUUGAGCGGGGAGGCGUUACCCGCAGAGGAAGCACCGGCUAACUCCGUGCCAGCAGCCGCGGUAAUUC
RNAcentral lists this ribosomal RNA (406 nucleotides) under uncultured bacterium. Its description in RNAcentral is "partial 16S ribosomal RNA". It matches the Rfam family "Bacterial small subunit ribosomal RNA", at positions 29 to 526 of the family's 1533-position model. The record is from RNAcentral.